This is a long non-coding RNA of Zeugodacus cucurbitae (melon fly), 366 nucleotides long. RefSeq lists it as uncharacterized. NCBI's taxonomy places the organism in Eukaryota, Metazoa, Arthropoda, Insecta, Diptera, Tephritidae. The record is from RefSeq and is a predicted model, not a curated record. The transcript is spliced from 2 exons.
UGUGUUGAGUCUGAGGAGUUCGAUGAAAAAUAUUUAAAUUCAGUUUUUAGUCUUCCAUUCCAAAUUCAAUGCCAUUUGUGGGAAUCCUGGCUGAGCAGCGGCGCUUUAAGAAAUAUUAAGUGCGCGUGUUUUGCAGUUACGUAAAACACGUCUGCUCGGUUAUGUCAGAGAAGAAGCUAAUUUUCACACUUCACACCAUUCAAUCAACAACCAUUCGGACUCAUUGAACUACUUUGUCACUCAUCAUCGAACAUUGAAUCGCCAAAAAAUAACGUUGGAAGACCUCAAACGCAGUCUCGGCCAUUGGACAAAAUUGUGAUUUUUCAUAGUUUAGGUUCAACGAAUAAAAAAAUACAAUAGACAAUA